RNAcentral lists this ribosomal RNA (465 nucleotides) under uncultured bacterium. RNAcentral's name for it is "partial 16S ribosomal RNA". It matches the Rfam family "Bacterial small subunit ribosomal RNA", at positions 28 to 507 of the family's 1533-position model. The record is from RNAcentral.
GACGAACGCUGGCGGCGUGCUUAACACAUGCAAGUCGAACGGAAAGGCCCUGCUUGCAGGGUACUCGAGUGGCGAACGGGUGAGUAACACGUGGGUGAUCUGCCCUGCACUUCGGGAUAAGCCUGGUAAACUGGGUCUAAUACCGGAUAGGAGCCAUUUUUAGUGUGAUGGUUGAAAAGUUUUUUCGGUGUAGGAUGAGCUCGCGGCCUAUCAGCUUGUUGGUGGGGUAAUGGCCUACCAAGGCGGCGACGGGUAGCCGGCCUGAGAGGGUGGACGGCCACAUUGGGACUGAGAUACGGCCCAGACUCCUACGGGAGGCAGCAGUGGGGAAUAUUGCACAAUGGGCGCAAGCCUGAUGCAGCGACGCCGCGUGGGGGAUGACGGCCUUCGGGUUGUAAACUCCUUUCGCUAGGGACGAAGCUUUUUGUGACGGUACCUAGAUAAGAAGCACCGGCUAACUACGUG